RNAcentral lists this ribosomal RNA (448 nucleotides) under uncultured bacterium. Its description in RNAcentral is "bacterial SSU rRNA". It matches the Rfam family "Bacterial small subunit ribosomal RNA", at positions 330 to 794 of the family's 1533-position model. The record is from RNAcentral.
GCCAGACUCCUACGGGAGGCAGCAGUGGGGGAUAUUGCACAAUGGGGGAAACCCUGAUGCAGCGACGCCGCGUGGGUGAAGAAGCGCCUCGGCGCGUAAAGCCCUGUCAGCAGGGAAGAAAAUGACGGUACCUGACUAAGAAGCCCCGGCUAACUACGUGCCAGCAGCCGCGGUAAUACGUAGGGGGCAAGCGUUAUCCGGAUUUACUGGGUGUAAAGGGGGCGCAGACGGCAGCGCAAGCCAGGAGUGAAAGCCCGGGGCCCAACCCCGGGACUGCUCUUGGAACUGCGCGGCUGGAGUGCAGGAGGGGCAGGCGGAAUUCCUGGUGUAGCGGUGAAAUGCGUAGAUAUUAGGAGGAACACCGGUGGCGAAGGCGGCUUACUGGACUGUAACUGACGUUGAGGCUCGAAAGCGUGGGGAGCAAACAGGAUUAGAUACCCUCGUACAA